Molecule: non-coding RNA, 27 nt
Filed under: Bombyx mori (domestic silkworm)
Lineage: Eukaryota; Metazoa; Arthropoda; Insecta; Lepidoptera; Bombycidae
Source: RNAcentral
AAUAGCUGGCGAAUUGAAGAAUUACAA